CCAUACCAUAUGGAAUCAUGGGUAAAAAAAAAAAAUCUCCUUGACAAUGAACCAAUCUCUCACAGACCCAGUGGCAAGGUGACAGCUGCCAAACUCACAGAGGUUUGUUUCUCUCUCCUGCAAAACUUCUCUGCCACACUCAAAAUUUACAGCGAGGAAUUGACAGAUAACUUGGGAAAAGACAGCCCCAAAACAAACUGCUUUGAAAAGUUAUGAAAUCAUGUUAUUGUCUGAUAUUAAAAUCUUUUCCUGCCUAGCAAAGCCAGAGAUAAUCAUAGAUUUUCUCAUCUCAUUUUCCCACUUCUCCUGGUGCACUGUAAACCCAACUGAAGUACUACUUUUGUGACAGCUGACUAUUAAGCAGGCAGUGAAUGCUUUCCAUUUAAAUCACCCCGCUGUGUCACACGGAGCGACGGUUGCUCGGCUGUGACCACCACAGUCCCUGACAGGGCACUCCAGCCUAUACAGUAGAGCCUUUCCUCAAGUGCUCAAAAAAAUGAACUUCUGAACUGGCAAACACACUCUUGCCAGGAAUAUUUCUUGGGGCUGCGGAGCUAUGGCUGAUACAACUCGCUCACUAAGAAACAGCUACACUCCGCAAAUCUUUUUUGUGAUUUAGACACAAGAGGAAAAUGUAUUAAAAACAUCCACUCGAUUUUAAACAAUAUUCGUUUCUGUUUGUAUCAGCAAGAGGAGCUCGUGGGUGCACAAUUCUUGUUUGGAUUAUUUUGUGUAUCAACUGUUGUUUAAUUAUUUGGCUAUAGCAGAAUUGUAAUUCUGGGCUGCACAGAUUACAGAACUGCCAUUCAGUACAGAACAGAACUAACUUUUAUUGAGCUUCAAUAAUACCCUUGCAUUUCUGUGAUCUCCGAGAUGAUAAGCAAAUGAUUUAGUGUAAGCACGAACUGCUAAUGUAAUAUGCAGGGGUUUGGGGUUUUUUGCCCCAAAUCUUACAAUCUGUUUGGACUAAAUAUCAGUGAAGAUCUAUGCUACUACAGAAUCCCAGUUUGCACUUCUAGCUCCAGAUAACAGGUACAAUCCCACUGCUAUUUACAGGAAAGGGUCUGACUAGCAUGGGAAGUGUUAAGUUUUAUUUUGAGACCAGAAAAAAAAUAUGGACACUGUGCCAGGAACUGUCCUUGCUCUGGCUAGCCAAAGUAUUUAUUGUCUUCUGUUACUGCAGGUUUGCUAACACUACCUGUCCUUUCAGUCUCACUGAUUAUUGGGAAAAAAAACUCCCUCUCCAAAUAGUCACACAAAAUAUAAAGCAAAACUCUUAGUAACAAUCAGCCUUGAAUUGGUGUCAGAUUCAAUUUUCUGCUGCUCUCUCCGCUCCUAUCUCUCAAACCCAUCAUCUUACCCGCCCUGCUGGUUAUUUAUUUAGUAUUUCAUACCCAGUUGUGCUGCAUGUCAUUCCAGGCAAGUUCUGAUAAAUCUGUAUUCUAUAUGGGUUUUUAGCACCUGGUGUAAUUAGAGAUCUACUGACAAACUUUCUCUGGAUUGCUGUAUUAACCACUUCUUCCUAUACCAACAUAUGAUUUUACCUCCCAAUAUUAAUUGUAAACACACCAACUAAAUAUUUUUUUUAGAACAUACACUUUUCAGAUUAUGAAUGACAGAAGCAUGAAACCAUUUCCUUCCUGACAGUGGAGUGGUUAUGUGCAAAGAAAUGAGGAGUGCUGUUGGUUAACAGCGUUUUAAAUUCAGAACAAUUAGGUGCAGUUAACUUUGCCAUUGUUCUUUCUGAUGCUGGGGAUGGUGGGUUCUUACCCGUAGAGCAAUUACUCCUUUCAUAAGCGGCUGUUGUUAAUAGCAUUAAAACAAGAUUAAAUACAA
Non-coding RNA from Zonotrichia albicollis (white-throated sparrow), 1836 nucleotides. The record is from RefSeq and is a predicted model, not a curated record. NCBI's taxonomy places the organism in Eukaryota, Metazoa, Chordata, Aves, Passeriformes, Passerellidae.